CCUACGGGAGGCAGCAGUAAGGAAUAUUGGUCAAUGGAGGGAACUCUGAACCAGCCAUGCCGCGUGCAGGAAGACUGCCCUAUGGGUUGUAAACUGCUUUUGUUAGGGAAUAAACCUUUCUACGUGUAGAGAGCUGAAUGUACCUAAAGAAUAAGGAUCGGCUAACUCCGUGCCAGCAGCCGCGGUAAU
Molecule: ribosomal RNA, 189 nt
Filed under: bacterium rA4
Lineage: Bacteria
Description: 16S ribosomal RNA
Rfam family: Bacterial small subunit ribosomal RNA
Source: RNAcentral